This 497-nucleotide ribosomal RNA is filed under the name uncultured bacterium. Its description in RNAcentral is "partial 16S ribosomal RNA". It matches the Rfam family "Bacterial small subunit ribosomal RNA", at positions 28 to 507 of the family's 1533-position model. The record is from RNAcentral.
GAUGAACGCUGGCGGCGUGCCUAAUACAUGCAAGUCGAGCGAACAGAUGAGGAGCUUGCUCCUCUGACGUUAGCGGCGGACGGGUGAGUAACACGUGGAUAACCUACCUAUAAGACUGGGAUAACUUCGGGAAACCGGAGCUAAUACCGGAUAAUAUAUUGAACCGCAUGGUUCAAUAGUGAAAGACGGUUUUGCUGUCACUUAUAGAUGGAUCCGCGCCGCAUUAGCUAGUUGGUAAGGUAACGGCUUACCAAGGCGACGAUGCGUAGCCGACCUGAGAGGGUGAUCGGCCACUCUGGAACUGAGACACGGUCCAGACUCCUACGGGAGGCAGCAGUAGGGAAUCUUCCGCAAUGGGCGAAAGCCUGACGGAGCAACGCCGCGUGAGUGAUGAAGGUCUUCGGAUCGUAAAACUCUGUUAUUAGGGAAGAACAAAUGUGUAAGUAACUAUGCACGUCUUGACGGUACCUAAUCAGAAAGCCACGGCUAACUACGUG